CGUGUAGGCGGACUGUUAAGUCUGAUGUGAAAGCCCGGGGCUCAACCCCGGAAGUGCAUUGGAUACUGGCAGUCUUGAGUAUGGGAGAGGAAAGUGGAAUUCCGAGUGUAGGGGUGAAAUCCGUAGAUAUUCGGAGGAACACCAGUGGCGAAGGCGGCUUUCUGGACCAAUACUGACGCUGAGACGCGAAAGCGUGGAGAGCAAACA
Molecule: ribosomal RNA, 207 nt
Filed under: uncultured bacterium
Lineage: Bacteria
Description: partial 16S ribosomal RNA
Rfam family: Bacterial small subunit ribosomal RNA
Source: RNAcentral